UUGCAUCUUAGAAAGUAUUAAGAGGAGAUUUACGUGCCUCAUGACUGAAGAAGGGAAAAUUAUCCACAACAAAACCAAAGCUCUGUAUCAACUACUCCAAAGUCCAAAAAGAAGAUGUACAAAGAGUGCUUCAUGAGAUAUUUCUUGAGGUUUCAUGAGAUAUUUCUUGAGGUUUCACCCGACACUUUUUGAUGCAGCAGACACAAGCAGACCAUUGUGGAGAAGGUGAGUAGGCAGAGGAGCUUUGCAAUUAGCAAUGUGAGACUUCAGCCUUGGGAUAUUAGGAUGUGCACUGCGACACCUGUGGCAGCGCAACUCCA
This 320-nucleotide long non-coding RNA is filed under the name Musa acuminata (dwarf banana). RNAcentral's name for it is "long non-coding RNA (MACU_LNC008940)". The record is from RNAcentral. Lineage: Eukaryota; Viridiplantae; Streptophyta; Magnoliopsida; Zingiberales; Musaceae.